GUGAGGAAUAUUGGUCAAUGGGCGGGAGCCUGAACCAGCCAAGUCGCGUGAAGGAAGAAGGAUCUAUGGUUCGUAAACUUCUUUUGCAGGGGAAUAAAGUGCAGGACGUGUCCUGUUUUGUAUGUACCCUGAGAAUAAGGAUCGGCUAACUCCGUGCCAGCAGCCGCGGUAAUACGGAGGAUCCGAGCGUUAUCCGGAUUUAUUGGGUUUAAAGGGUGCGUAGGUGGUUUGAUAAGUCAGCGGUGAAAGUUUGCAGCUUAACUGUAAAAAUGCCGUUGAAACUGUCGGACUUGAGUGUAAAUGAGGUAGGCGUAAUGCGUGGUGUAGCGGUGAAAUGCAUAGAUAUCACGCAGAACUCCGAUUGCGAAGGCAGCUUACUAAGCUACAACUGACACUGAAGCACGAAAGCGUGGGGAUCAAACAGGAUUAGAAACCCCGGUAGUCC
This 445-nucleotide ribosomal RNA is filed under the name uncultured bacterium. RNAcentral's name for it is "partial 16S ribosomal RNA". It matches the Rfam family "Bacterial small subunit ribosomal RNA", at positions 354 to 796 of the family's 1533-position model. The record is from RNAcentral.